Molecule: long non-coding RNA, 2766 nt
Organism: Dicentrarchus labrax (European seabass)
Lineage: Eukaryota; Metazoa; Chordata; Actinopteri; Moronidae
Source: Ensembl
UGUAUUGCUAUAGAAAAGUGGGAGGUUAAGUAGCUUUUUCAUGGAUGGCCAAAUGAGGUUGUGUUUGAAGGUGGGACGUCAGGGAUAUUGAGGUUUGUUGUGAAAUGUGUAGAUUGAUAACUAUUGUGUUUUCAUAUAAUUUGGCUUUUAGCAAGGCCAAUUCUCCGCACCCUCCUCUGUGUGAAAGUUUCAGAUGCGGCGAGGGGGGAAAUUUCGCUCCGUCCCUGAUCCUCCUCUGGAGAUAGUAUCAGGGACGCAGGAGCGAGGGCGUGUCGGUCAGACAGUCUGAUAACUGCUCAGGUCUCUCACUCAACUUAAUAAAGAGAAAUGUCCCACAAAGCAACGUUACAGGACCAAACAACAGUAACGUAGUAACUGUAACUGUCUUUGGAAACUUACAUGAGGAAAAAAAAUACCACAGCUGUACGUGGAGAAGCGUCUGUCCUCCUGUCUGUCCUACCGACUGUCCUACCGACUCUUCCGUUACAUUUCUGUCCGAAAAACAGCGUCUGUCACCGGCGAAAAACGGAGUGUAUGCAAUCAAAAAUCACCGCGACCGCCAGCCCUCCGGACCGAGACAUCAGUUUACUUUCCACCGGAAAGUUUCAGUGACAAAGAGAAACAAAUGUGAAUAAUGAAGCAGAGACUUUACUGGAGGAAAUGAAUAAUGAAUCAAUGAAAGCUGCAUCAAGCAGGAUUGGAUUAUUGGGAAAUAAUGGAAUAUACUAGAUUAACAAAGGUAUGUCUUAUUUGGAAAAGGAUAAAUGAAGUCAGAUGUUCCCACAACUUAUCCAAUACUCAAGUAUUCACACCCCAUUAAAAGUUUUUGUGUUUUAUUGUUUUACAACACUGAAAAAAUACAAAAUACAGGUGACAAGUAUUUAAUAGUAGGAGUAGUACUUAUUAGGACACACCUUAAUCAGCACUAAUGCAACCAACUGGUUUUAGAAGUCACAUUAUUAUUUCAAUAAAUAGUAGUAUAAAUACCCCUGUAUCUAUAGUGUAAAUGCCCCUGUAUCUGUAGUAUAAAUGCCCCUGUAUCGGUAGUAUAAAUACCCCUGUAUCUGUAGUAUAAAUGCCCCUUUAUCUGUAGUAUAAAUACCCCUGUAUCUGUAGUGUAAAUGCCCCUGUAUCUGUAGUGAAAAUGCCCCUGUAUCUGUAGUAUAAAUGCCCCUGUAUCUGUAGUGUAAAUGCCCCUGUAUCUGUAGUGAAAAUGCCCCUGUAUAUGUAGUGUAAAUGCCCCUGUAUCUGUAGUGAAAAUGCCCCUGUAUCUGUAUUAUAAAUGCCCUGUAUCUGUAGUAUAAAUGCCCCUGUAUCUGUGGUGUAAAUGCCCCUGUAUCUGUAGUAUAAAUGCCCCUGUAUCUGUAGUAUAAAUGCCCUGUAUCUGUAGUAUAAAUGUCCCUGUAUCUGUAGUAUAAAUGCCCCUGUAUCUGUAGUAUAAAUGCCCCUGUAUCUGUAGUGUAAAUGCCCCUGUAUCUGCAGUAUAAAUGCCCCUGUAUCUGUAGUAUAAAUGCCCCUGUAUCUGUAGUAUAAAUGUCCCUGUAUCUGUAGUAUAAAUGCCCCUGUAUCGGUAGUAUAAAUACCCCUGUAUCUGUAGUAUAAAUGCCCCUUUAUCUGUAGUGUAAAUGCCCCUGUAUCGGUAGCGUAAAUGCCCCUGUAUCUGUAGUGUAAAUGCCCCUGUAUCUGCAGUAUAAAUGCCCCUGUAUCUGUAGUGAAAAUGCCCCUGUAUCUGUAGUGUAAAUGCCCCUGUAUCUGUAUUAUAAAUGCCCCUGUAUCUGUAGUGUAAAUGUCCCUGUAUCUGUAGUAUAAAUGUCCCUGUAUCUAUAGUGUAAAUGUCCCUGUAUCUGUAGUGUAAAUGUCCCUGUAUCUGUAGUAUAAAUGCCCCUGUAUCUGUAGUAUAAAUGCCCCUGUAUCUGUAGUAUAAAUGCCCCUGUAUCGGUAGUAUAAAUACCCCUGUAUCUGUAGUAUAAAUGCCCCUUUAUCUGUAGUGUAAAUGCCCCUGUAUCGGUAGCGUAAAUACCCCUGUAUCUGUAGUGAAAAUGCCCCUGUAUAUGUAGUGUAAAUGCCCCUGUAUCUGUAGUGAAAAUGCCCCUGUAUCUGUAGUGUAAAUGCCCCUGUAUCUGUAUUAUAAAUGCCCCUGUAUCUGUAGUAUAAAUGCUCCUGUAUCUGUAUUAUAAAUGCCCUGUAUCUGUAGUAUAAAUGCCCCUGUAUCUGUAGUAUAAAUGCCCUGUAUCUGUAGUGUAAAUGCCCCUGUAUCUGUAGUAUAAAUGCCCCUGUAUCUGUAGUGUAAAUGUCCCUGUAUCUGUAUUAUAAAUGCCCCUGUAUCUGUAGUAUAAAUGCUCCUGUAUCUGUAUUAUAAAUGCCCUGUAUCUGUAGUAUAAAUGCCCCUGUAUCUGUAGUAUAAAUGCCCUGUAUCUGUAGUAUAAAUGCCCCUGUAUCUGUAGUAUAAAUGCCCUGUAUCUGUAGUAUAAAUGCCCCUGUAUCUGUAGUAUAAAUGCCCUGUAUCUGUAGUGUAAAUGCCCCUGUAUCUGUAGUGUAAAUGUCCCUGUAUCUGUAGUAUAAAUGCCCGUGCUGUUAUGGUCGUGGGGUUUUGUUGGUUAUUUCCUGUUUGUUUUAUAGUUUGCAUUAAAGAUGUUUUGAGGACGGAUGGUAGCGCUGAACUUAUGUCUAGGAGGCAGUAUCCUCUAAACCUUGACUUUGUAAUUCAAUACCUGUGUGGGUCACAGACUUCUUCCUCGGACUGUCCUGUUUCCGUGCUGCUUAAAU